GAUGAAGAACGCAGCGAAAUGCGACAAGUAAUGCGAAUUGCAGAAUUCAGUGAGUCAUCGAAUCUUUGAACGCACAUUGCGCCCUGUGGUAUUCCGCAGGGCAUGCCUGUUCGAGCGUCAUUUCAACCCUCAAGCUCUGCUUGGUGUUGGGCCCUGCCCGCUGCGGCCGGCCCUAAAGACAGUGGCGGUGCCGCCUGGCCCUGAGCGUAGUACAUCUCUCGCUCCAGUGCCCGGUGGUAGCCUGCCAGAACCCCAACUCUCGUGGUUGACCUCGGAUCAGGUAGGGAUACCCGCUGAACUUAAGCAUAUCAUAAGCGGAGGA
RNAcentral lists this unclassified non-coding RNA (322 nucleotides) under soil metagenome. Its description in RNAcentral is "partial contains 5.8S ribosomal RNA, internal transcribed spacer 2, and large subunit ribosomal RNA". The stretch from base 1 to 120 matches the Rfam family "5.8S ribosomal RNA", at positions 35 to 154 of the family's 154-position model. The record is from RNAcentral.